GCAUGGGUAGAGGUAAGGCAGGGGGUUGUCUUGCAGGGGAAAUGGCUCUGGCAUCGAGUCUCUGGUUGCAGCAGAGUGCAAGGCGGAUUCUGCUCUGGGUGCUGAAAAUGCCUCGUGCUGUUGCUGGUCUCUAGGUUUUUCAAAGGCCUUGAUACAUCAUCAAAGGCACAGCCUUUCCAAGAUGGUUUAUCAGACAUCACUUUGUUCUUGUGUUGUAAACAUUCAAGUGCCCAACAGACAUUUUGCUGCUGCUACAAAGUCUGCAAAGAAAACAAAAAAAGGUGCUAAAGAAAAAACACUAGAUGAGAAAAAAGAUGAAAUAGAAAAAAUAAAAGCAUAUCCCUAUAUGGAAGGCGAACCUGAGGAUGAUGUCUAUUUAAAACGCUUAUACCCAAGACAGAUAUAUGAGGUGGAGAAAGCUGUUCACUUACUUAAGAAAUUUCAAAUUCUUGACUUUACUAGUCCAAAGCAAAGUGUUUAUCUUGAUUUGACACUGGAUAUGGCACUGGGAAAGAAGAAAAACGUGGAGCCAUUUACCAGUGUUCUUAGUUUGCCAUACCCAUUUGCUUCUGAAAUCAAU
Molecule: small RNA, 580 nt
Filed under: Pongo abelii (Sumatran orangutan)
Lineage: Eukaryota; Metazoa; Chordata; Mammalia; Primates; Hominidae
Description: processed transcript
Source: RNAcentral